Panicum hallii is the source of this 1381-nucleotide RNA transcript. It is a transcript of the gene named riboflavin synthase, with no coding region annotated. The transcript is spliced from 2 exons. NCBI's taxonomy places the organism in Eukaryota, Viridiplantae, Streptophyta, Magnoliopsida, Poales, Poaceae. The record is from RefSeq and is a predicted model, not a curated record.
ACGCUUUCUAGUGGGCGAGCAGACGAACUCACCCACCCACCAACUAACCCCGUCCGGACGCCGAGCCGCCGCCGGAGGAAUCUCUCGCCAUGGCGCCGCCGCCCGCCACCGCCACCGCCACCGCCGCGGCGGCCGCCGCCGUCCGCCCGCACGUGCUCCUCCGACGCGGCGGUGGCCUCCUCCCUUCGCCGCCAUGCCCCGCCACGCUCCCCUUCGCCUCGCGAGGCGCGGCCGCGCGGCGCCUCCGCCUCCCGCCGCCGCGGUUCUCUCUCUCGACCGUCCCGAAGAGCCUCUCCGCUGCCUCCCACGUCCCCGUACGGUCCCUCUUCACCGGUAUCGUCGAGGAGGUGGGCCGCGUGCGCCGCCUCGGCCCCCCGCUUGCGCCGUCCGGCGGCGGCGGCGGCGGCGGCGAGGCUCCCGGCCUCGACCUGGAGGUCGAGACGAAGAGCCUCCUCGCCGGGACGCAGCUCGGGGAUAGCGUCGCGGUCGACGGCACCUGCCUCACCGUGGCGGCGAUCGAUCCGGCCGCGUCCACGCUCACCUUCGGCGUCGCGCCGGAGACGCUCCGCCGGACGUCGCUGGGCGAGCGCGCCCCGGGCGACGGCGUCAACCUCGAGCGCGCGCUCACGCCGUCGUCCCGGAUGGGGGGACACUUCGUGCAGGGCCACGUGGACGGCACCGGCGAGAUCGCCGCGUUCCGACCCGACGGGGACUCGCUCUGGGUCACCGUGCGCGCGCCGCCGGAGAUCCUCAGGCUGCUCGUGCCCAAGGGCUUUGUCGCCGUCGACGGGACCAGCCUCACCGUCGUCAGCGUCGACGACCAGGGCGGGUGGUUUGACUUCAUGCUCGUGAGGUACACGCAGGACAACAUCGUGCUGCCGACCAAGAAGGUCGGCGACAAGGUGAACCUGGAGGCGGAUAUACUGGGGAAGUACGUCGAGAAGCUCCUUGCUGGGAGGUUGGAGGCCAUGGUGAAGGCGGAUUCUUGAGUAGCCAUCGUGGAGCUGCUGAAUUGCUCGUCAUUCUAUAGGUAUUAUGGCAAGAGAUGGAGGAGGACUUGGAUUUGAUGCCUGCGCCGACUCAGCUUGGGUCCUAAGAGGGAGACGAAGGCACUUCACCAAUUUUACGCAUGAAGUUUUUGUUAAGACGUUUGGGAGCUGUUCAUUUGGUUCCUGCAACCUGCAACUGCAGCAUGAGAUUCUACUGCACCUCCCCCUCUGCUGUUUGGUUCGUGAGGCCUGAGCUUUUGUGAUUGGAACAAUGGAAUAUAUCAAUAUAAGGCUUAGCUACCAUCGUACAACUCCUUUUGAAAUUGCAGCUGUCUGUGUAAACCCUUUCAUUGACUCCAGAAAAUAAGACAGCGUUGACUGUUGCUGCAGUA